GGGACAAUGGGGUAGCUUGGUCCAUCCUCGAGCGUUUGGGACGCUUGGACCCCAGUUCAAAUCUGGGUUGUCCCA
RNAcentral lists this transfer RNA (75 nucleotides) under Methanocella arvoryzae MRE50. RNAcentral describes it as "tRNA-Pro (TGG) (tRNA-Pro-TGG-1-1)". Lineage: Archaea; Methanobacteriati; Methanobacteriota; Methanomicrobia; Methanocellales; Methanocellaceae. The record is from RNAcentral.